UCCCUGACCUCAGUUCCCGCAGGUUUUUCUUCCCUUGCUCCAGCAGCUCUCGUCGUUGGCCAGAGAAUUAUCCCCUUCCUUGAGAUUGAAGUAUUGGGACUGAGUUAUUCAAAGCGCACUGAGUGAGAGAGAGAGGAGCCGGAUAAGAUUUUUGACAUUACCGUUGCUGUCCACGAGCCACCAUUGGUCGUUGCUUGCAGAGCUUGAAAACAACAUUUGCUAGUCAAAUGAGUUCUUAACCGGAGAAUGACAUACAUAGUUCUUGAGGCAGCUGAUCUCGAUGAUGAUGGGGUAGAGUUCAAUUUCUUGACAGUGCUGUAGAAUUUGUCAUAUAUAUGCUCAAAGAGAUAGGGAAGUUCAAACAAGAAGAUGUAGUACUUGUAUUGGAAGAGUUUGAGAAUCUUGCUUUUGAUCAGUCUGGGACAUUAUCAGUGUCUAAUUUAGAGCUUGCUCAAUCAUCUCAAACAGGGCUUGAUUCACGCCUGUGUGGAGAGUUUAGGAAUGCAAAAUUGUGUAAUGAUUGGUGAAGUAUCUGUAAGCCACUUUCCAGGAUCCUGUGUUGUGAAGAAAUAACUCAUUUUCCCAUGUAAAAUGAAAGAUGUGAAGAAAGUAA
Macadamia integrifolia is the source of this 613-nucleotide long non-coding RNA. RefSeq lists it as uncharacterized. NCBI's taxonomy places the organism in Eukaryota, Viridiplantae, Streptophyta, Magnoliopsida, Proteales, Proteaceae. The transcript is spliced from 3 exons. The record is from RefSeq and is a predicted model, not a curated record.